This 762-nucleotide ribosomal RNA is filed under the name uncultured Lactobacillus sp. Its description in RNAcentral is "bacterial SSU rRNA". It matches the Rfam family "Bacterial small subunit ribosomal RNA", at positions 735 to 1502 of the family's 1533-position model. Lineage: Bacteria; Bacillati; Bacillota; Bacilli; Lactobacillales; Lactobacillaceae. The record is from RNAcentral.
CUGUACUGACGCUGAGCUCGAAAGUAUGGGUAGCAAACAGGAUUAGAUACCUGGUAGUCCAUACCGUAAACGACGAAUGCUAAGUGUUGGAGGGUUCCCCUUCAGUGCUGCAGCUAACGCAUUAAGCAUUCCGCCUGGGGAGUACGGCCGCAAGGCUGAAACUCAAAGGAAUUGACGGGGGCCCGCACAAGCGGUGGAGCAUGUGGUUUAAUUCGAAGCUACGCGAAGAACCUUACCAGGUCUUGACAUACUAUGCAAAUCUAAGAGAUUAGACGUUCCCUUCGGGGACAUGGAUACAGGUGGUGCAUGGUUGUCGUCAGCUCGUGUCGUGAGAUGUUGGGUUAAGUCCCGCAACGAGCGCAACCCUUAUUAUCAGUUGCCAGCAUUAAGUUGGGCACUCUGGUGAGACUGCCGGUGACAAACCGGAGGAAGGUGGGGAUGACGUCAAAUCAUCAUGCCCCUUAUGACCUGGGCUACACACGUGCUACAAUGGAUGGUACAACGAGUUGCGAACUCGCGAGAGUAAGCUAAUCUCUUAAAGCCAUUCUCAGUUCGGAUUGUAGGCUGCAACUCGCCUACAUGAAGUCGGAAUCGCUAGUAAUCGCGGAUCAGCAUGCCGCGGUGAAUACGUUCCCGGGCCUUGUACACACCGCCCGUCACACCAUGAGAGUUUGUAACACCCAAAGUCGGUGGGGUAACCUUUAGGAACCAGCCGCCUAAGGUGGGACAGAUGAUUAGGGUGAAGUCGUAACAAGGUAACCA